Molecule: long non-coding RNA, 1387 nt
Filed under: Salmo salar (Atlantic salmon)
Lineage: Eukaryota; Metazoa; Chordata; Actinopteri; Salmoniformes; Salmonidae
Description: lncRNA (ENSSSAG00000103739.1)
Source: RNAcentral
GUGGCCUGGAAGGCAGCCGGAGAGGUGGCCUGGAAGGAAGUUGGAGAGGUGGCCUGGAAGGCAGCUGGAGAUGUGGCCUGGGAGGCAGCUGGAGAGGUGGCCUGGAUAGCAGUGGGCACAGUGGGCAUAAAUCAGCUGCCCUCAAGAGAUACACUGACAACUUCUGCUCCUGCUCAUCAAUGAAGACCCCGUUUCCACUACGGUAGCCUACAAGCUCUCUCGACCCCUUCUCCAGUAGCUUCUUUCUCUGCAGAAUCUGCACAGCAUCACAUGAUAUAUGCCAUACAACUUUGCAACCGAUCUGAUUGAUUUCCCCUGCUCUGUUACAUAAUUUGACGCUCUUUUCAAAGUGUGGAGAGGUACUCCCCUGUCUGUUUUUCUUUUCCAUGAUCUAGGCAUGCUGAAAGUAAAAGAAAACAUUUACCAAAACAUCCAGUUUUAGUCGGGGUUAGUUGUAACAUUUUCUCACAAGUUGUUACAACUUUAGCAUUGCUAACUUUCAUCAAAUAUCUCUACACAGACUGGUUAUAAACCUGAUAUAACUUUGCUGAAUGAAACUACAAAGCACUUUAUGCCAUCACAAAAACAAAUUUGGUCAAAAUAAUUACUUUCUUACCUCAACAUUUCUGUCAAUAGCAUUUGCAGAGUUUAUCACAGGGACUUGCUUUUUCACGAGGGUUCAGGACUAAACUGAGCAUGUGCACAGAGAAUCAUAUGAUUAUACCUCGCUCCUGAUUGGAGGAAUUUUCCCGUGUUACAACCAUCCCCGGUCUCCCCUACCACAUUCAAGUGGUGUGGUAACACAAGACCACAAUGUUGGUGUACUUUGUAAUUGACUGUAUGUUACACAGUAGAGAGAUCUUAAACAUAAGUAUUCACCUCCCUUGGAUUUCUUCACAUUUUAUUGUGUUACAAAGUGGGAUUAAAAUUAAUUGAAUUGUCAUUUUUUGUCAACAAUUUACUCAAAAUAUUCUGUAAUGUCAAAGUGGAAGAAAAAUUUGAUUUUUUGUUAAGAUUAAUGAAAGAUAAAAGACUAAUAUACCUUGAUUAGAUAAGUAUUCACCCACCUAAAUCAAUACAUGUUAGAAACACCUUUUUACAGCCAUAGCCAUAGAUUUUUUAAAGCAGAUUUAAGUCAAAACUAACUUGGCCACUCAGGAACAUUCACUGUCUUUCUGGUAAGCAACUCCAGUGUCUGCAGACUGAAGCAGGUUUUCCUCUAGGAUUUUGCUUGUGCUUAGCUCCAACAUGUUGUGUUUUGCAUUUGCCCCAAACAUAAGGCUUUGCAUUUAGGUCAAAAAGUGUAUUAUUUUGCAGUUAAUGUUUUGUUGUUGCAGUAUUACUUUAGUGCCUUGUUGCAUACAAGAUGCAUGCUUUGUAAUAUUUU